CCUACGGGGUGCUGCAGUGGGGAAUAUUGGACAAUGGGCGAAAGCCUGAUCCAGCCAUGCCGCGUGUGUGAAGAAGGCCUUCGGGUUGUAAAGCACUUUCAGUGGGGAAGAAAGCCUUGGGGCUAAUACCCUCGAGGAAGGACAUCACCCACAGAAGAAGCACCGGCUAACGCCGUGCCAGCAGCCGCGGUAAUACGGAGGGUGCGAGCGUUAAUCGGAAUUACUGGGCGUAAAGCGCGCGUAGGCGGUCUGAUAAGCCGGUUGUGAAAGCCCCGGGCUCAACCUGGGAACGGCAUCCGGAACUGUCAGGCUAGAGUGCAGGAGAGGAAGGUAGAAUUCCCGGUGUAGCGGUGAAAUGCGUAGAGAUCGGGAGGAAUACCAGUGGCGAAGGCGGCCUUCUGGACUGACACUGACGCUGAGGUGCGAAAGCGUGGGUAGCAAACAGGAUUAGAUACCCCUGUAGUC
RNAcentral lists this ribosomal RNA (465 nucleotides) under Vreelandella stevensii. RNAcentral's name for it is "partial 16S ribosomal RNA". It matches the Rfam family "Bacterial small subunit ribosomal RNA", at positions 338 to 795 of the family's 1533-position model. Lineage: Bacteria; Pseudomonadati; Pseudomonadota; Gammaproteobacteria; Oceanospirillales; Halomonadaceae. The record is from RNAcentral.